RNAcentral lists this ribosomal RNA (453 nucleotides) under uncultured Cyphellophora. RNAcentral describes it as "SSU rRNA". It matches the Rfam family "Eukaryotic small subunit ribosomal RNA", at positions 625 to 1083 of the family's 1831-position model. The record is from RNAcentral. Lineage: Eukaryota; Fungi; Ascomycota; Eurotiomycetes; Chaetothyriales; Herpotrichiellaceae.
AGCUCGUAGUUGAACCUUGGACCUGGCUGAUCUGUCCUCCUAAUCGAGCGUACGGAUUCGGUCGGGUCUUUCCUUCUGGGGAACCCUAUGUCCUUCAUUGGGUGUAGUGGGGAACCAGGACUUUUACCUUGAAAAAAUUAGAGUGUUCAAAGCAGGCCUUUGCUCGAAUACAUUAGCAUGGAAUAAUAGAAUAGGACAUCGGUUCUAUUUUGUUGGUUUCUAGGACCGCUGUAAUGAUUAAUAGGGAUAGUCGGGGGCGUCCGUAUUCAAUUGUCAGAGGUGAAAUUCUUGGAUUUAUUGAAGACGAACUACUGCGAAAGCAUUCGCCAAGGAUGUUUUCAUUAAUCAGUGAACGAAAGUCAGGGGAUCGAAGACGAUCAGAUACCGUCGUAGUCUUAACCAUAAACUAUGCCGACUAGGGAUCGGACGGUGGUUUUUUUAUGCCCCGUUCGG